This 75-nucleotide transfer RNA is filed under the name Marmota monax (woodchuck). Its description in RNAcentral is "tRNA.Thr". The record is from RNAcentral. Lineage: Eukaryota; Metazoa; Chordata; Mammalia; Rodentia; Sciuridae.
GCUAGGAAGGUAGCUCAGUGGCAGAGCACUUGCCUAGUAUGCUGGACAGCCCUGGAUUCAAUUCCCAGUAUAGUG